This 538-nucleotide long non-coding RNA is filed under the name Olea europaea subsp. europaea. The record is from RNAcentral. Lineage: Eukaryota; Viridiplantae; Streptophyta; Magnoliopsida; Lamiales; Oleaceae.
CUAUGCGUCUAAUUGUAAAAUAUCUUCACUAUUGUUGGACUUUCCCUCCACUUGAGGGACUUGCCCUUUCUUGGCCCAUUUGGGCCCAACCCACUUAAAAGCCCCAAGUCCAUUCCAAUAUAGAGGCAGAAAACGGGGCUUCAUUUCUAGAGAGACACAAAAUUACAACAAAGGCAGAGAAAUGGACGAGAUAGAGAGAGAGAGACUUCGGUUCUUCAGCUUCUUCUCGCCAAUGAUGGAGGCUCGUUUGUGGUCCAAUUAAGCUGAUAUUUCAGUAUGUUAUUCUUGGCGCAAAGGGCUAUAUUUUGACUAGAGCCGAUCAUCCAGAUUUCUCUCCAUUUCUCUUGGCUGUACACACUAGUUUAGUGAGAUUUUCUCCUUAUUAUUGUGUGUAUUUAUUUUGGAUGUUGUCGUUGUUAGUAUCCAAGAACUAUAUGUGUUCUUGAUGCAUUGUAGCCUCUAGAUUUUGAUUUGGAGAUGAUUAACUAUGUAUCCCAUUAUUUUGAUAGUGGAUGGCUUUUAUUGGACUAGGUCCCGG